RNAcentral lists this small nuclear RNA (192 nucleotides) under Orussus abietinus. RNAcentral's name for it is "U2 spliceosomal RNA". It matches the Rfam family "U2 spliceosomal RNA". From Rfam's summary of the family: U2 is a small nuclear RNA (snRNA) component of the spliceosome (involved in pre-mRNA splicing). Complementary binding between U2 snRNA (in an area lying towards the 5' end but 3' to hairpin I) and the branchpoint sequence (BPS) of the intron results the bulging out of an unpaired adenosine, on the BPS, which initiates a nucleophilic attack at the intronic 5' splice site, thus starting the first of two transesterification reactions that mediate splicing. Lineage: Eukaryota; Metazoa; Arthropoda; Insecta; Hymenoptera; Orussidae. The record is from RNAcentral.
AUCGCUUCUCGGCUCCCUGAGCUAAGAUCAAAGUGUAGUAUCUGUUCUUAUCAGCUUAAUUUCUGAUACACCCCUCACCGAGGGGUCGGAAAAUUAAACUGAUUUUUGGACGAGGGCGGGGGCCCCGGUGCUCGCGCCUCCCCCGCCGCGGUCGGCCUGGCACUGCACUGCCGCCAGGCGCGGCCACCUACU